RNAcentral lists this ribosomal RNA (490 nucleotides) under uncultured bacterium. Its description in RNAcentral is "partial 16S ribosomal RNA". It matches the Rfam family "Bacterial small subunit ribosomal RNA", at positions 30 to 507 of the family's 1533-position model. The record is from RNAcentral.
AUUGAACGCUGGCGGCAGGCCUAACACAUGCAAGUCGAACGGUAACAGGAAGAAGCUUGCUUCUUUGCUGACGAGUGGCGGACGGGUGAGUCAUGUCUGGGAAACUGCCUGAUGGAGGGGGAUAACUACUGGAAACGGUAGCUAAUACCGCAUAACGUCGCAAGACCAAAGAGGGGGAGCUUCGGGCCUCUUGCCAUCGGAUGUGCCCAGAUGGGAUUAGCUAGUAGGUGGGGUAACGGCUCACCUAGGCGACGAUCCCUAGCUGGUCUGAGAGGAUGACCAGCCACACUGGAACUGAGACACGGUCCAGACUCCUACGGGAGGCAGCAGUGGGGAAUAUUGCACAAUGGGCGCAAGCCUGAUGCAGCCAUGCCGCGUGUAUGAAGAAGGCCUUCGGGUUGUAAAGUACUUUCAGCGGGGAGGAAGGGAGUAAAGUUAAUACCUUUGCUCAUUGACGUUACCCGCAGAAGAAGCACCGGCUAACUCCGUG